CAGCAGCAGCAGCAGCAGCAGCAAGAACUGCUUUCUGAGAAACACACACAGAACUGGUGCAAGAAGGCUAAGGAAAUCCUGAGAAAGUAAACACGUCUGCCCAAUGCUCAACCGUGGUCGACUCUGCAUGUCUUCAGAAGGCUUGACUAUUGGGAAAAGCGUUUAAAGGCACAGAACUGGAGGCCCUCAGAGUGAUGAGAGGAAGCCAUUGGGCCACGGAUUGAUGAUGCAUGUGCCUUUGAUGACACCUGUCGGGGUGCUGGCUACAUGUCUGGACAUUUCCAAGACUCAACCAUCCCCACGUUCUCUCCUGGGGCCUCCUGCUCAUCCACACAGAGGAUGCUGCACCUGGGCCCCGAUGGACCGUGGUCCUCCUUGUGGAGGAGCUGGGGCUGUCGAGUGAAACCAGCCACCUCUGUGAACCGCUCUGCGGGGGACCUACCUACGUAGGUGGAAGCGAGGCAGCUGUGUGCAUUUCAACACCAAUCAUCAACUGUUCUUGGCUACUGCUCCUUGUGAUGGAGGUUUCCGAGCUCUGCGUCCUGGGGCGGAGAAGGGUGAUAGAGAGCCGGGGUGGGGGGAGGGGGCAGUGCGUUCUGGGCCCCUUCCCACUUGGUCAUGGAGCCACAAGGCUUGGGUCUGUUUUAUACAUGGCCCAAACUUCUAUUUAAAGUCUCAGAGCCUGGGGCCCCUGGCUGGCUCGGUUGGAAGGGCAUGCGACUCUCUAUCUCAGGGUUAUGAGCUCGAGCCUCAGGUGGGGGGUAGAGAUUAUUUAAAAAUAAACUCUUUAAAAAAUAGAAAGGUUUCCAGGGGGCUAAAAAGUGAUUGCCAACAUGGGCUUUGAGUAGCUGAUGGUGUAAAAACGGACAGUCCCAUCUCCCAGGUGUUAAACUGCCCCAUUGGUUGAAUUCCUGGUCCCUCUGCCCCUUCUGACCGUCGUCAGCCUUGGACAUGGGAUUGGGAGGAGCUGGGGCUCAAAGCUGCGGGCUGGCAUGCUCAGCAGUCAGCUACCGGACACCAGGCCUCCCCUGAAACUGUUGUGUUGCACGAAGUUUCAUAUGUGGGGCCUGGAGAUCUGGUGUCAGAACACGCACUUAUCCCUAAACCAUGACUCGCGUUCUGGUUGCAGAUCGGUGCUGUGCUGGUGAAUGUUUAAUGAGUGGAUCUUCCGGGGUGGGAAAAAGCCUCGUUUUGCAGCAUUGACUGCUUCCUGUGGUAUAAACACUCCCCAUGAGGUCGAUUUCAAUCUACUAACCGGGUGUUGCUAAAGCAGAGCUGGGAAGAGAUUCUGAAACACGGGGUCACAGAGUCCAGUUGCAUCUCGUAGAAACAAGGGGUAUAAACAGCCUCAAAGCAGAGGUGAGGAACCUGUAGUCAAAUAUUGGGAAAGGGAGACGUUUGGAACAUUUGUUGUCUUCGUUCUUAAUAUGAUUUGUUUAAUUGCACGUUUGCGUCAUUUAAUUUAUAAGAUGGUUGCAUGUACAGUGCUGGCCAAAUCCUGGAAGGUCCCACCGUCGGCUCUCGCAGGCUGGGCCCUUGGUGGCGCUGGCUCUAGGUCACCUCUAGGGGUCUACCUCUGCUGGGAAGCGACAAGCCAUUUGGUCAAACCUCAAGACACUUAGGUUCCCAGGUCUGGAAAACAAGAGGCCCUCCGUUUCUGCCGUGUGGGGUCUGAGCACCAGGGAACACGCCUCACGUGUUUUUGAAUCUCAGGUGAAUCUAGGGUGCCCUGUUCGCACUUCUGAAGAAAGUUGUAGCAGAAACGUUUUCUCAGGGACGCCUGGGUGGCUCAGUGGUUGAGCGUCUGCCUUCAGCUCAGGGUGUGACCCCGGAGUCCUGGGAUCGAGUCCCACAUCUGGCUCCCCACAGGGAGCCUGCUUCUCCCUCUGCCUGUGUCUCUGCCUCUCUCUGUGUCAUGAA
This is a long non-coding RNA of Nyctereutes procyonoides (raccoon dog), 1920 nucleotides long. RefSeq lists it as uncharacterized. The record is from RefSeq and is a predicted model, not a curated record. Lineage: Eukaryota; Metazoa; Chordata; Mammalia; Carnivora; Canidae. The transcript is spliced from 4 exons.